AACACUGGUUUGGCACCGAGCAGUGGAAGGAAGCUGCAGCUGAGGCGGCUCUUUGGGAAGCUGGAAGACAGAAGAAGAGAACCUAAGCUCAGAAUCACGGCAGAGGUGAGAGUUACAGAUGAGAGGCGCACCCUGCGGCGGAGUAUCACGGUGGAGGAGCCCCAAGAACCUGCCGUCACAGCCCAGAGAUGACUGGGCUGUGCAUUUUGAAGGCUGAAAAUAACUGCAAAAAAGGCUUUAAGCCGAGGUCCCCCAGGAAGGACUCCGGAGACCAACAGCACCUAACGCGCGCUGCUUGGAAAUGCCGGUACCUGGCCCUGCCCUAGACCUGCUGCACUCACCGAGGAGCAUGUGACAGCACGAGCAGCCCUGCUGGAGCACCGGCCUUGCUGCAAAGUGGCUUCCGGUGCACGGCAGGCAUGAGAAAAAGAGACGGCUUCUCACCAGCCUGCUUCACUGGAGAGGGUUAUUCCCCAGUCCCAGGGGAAAGAAACAAAGGGGGG
RNAcentral lists this long non-coding RNA (503 nucleotides) under Dasypus novemcinctus (nine-banded armadillo). Its description in RNAcentral is "lncRNA (ENSDNOG00000052172.1)". The record is from RNAcentral. Lineage: Eukaryota; Metazoa; Chordata; Mammalia; Cingulata; Dasypodidae.